ACCAAAAUUCAUAACAGGUGUUGGAUCCAUGAGUGAGCCAAUAAUUUUCCUGCUUCAAUUUGAACUAUUUAAACUGUUCAUCACUGGUUGAAAAACUUUAUGAUCCAUCUCGGCGCGUCCUGACAUUCUCUAGUGGGCUCACACAUCAAAACUCCACUGUCACCCCGGAAUCACCCACACCAUCCAAUUCAUGGAAUGAAAUGUCUGGUGUCAUAGCCUGGUGAAAGACAACCAAGAGUUCGUCCAUGCCUGCUGCAUCUGUGCCCAAAGGAAGACUUCACAUCUGCACCCAGCUGGUCUGCUGUGUCCCUUACCUCUCCCGAGCUGCCCUUGGUCCCCAUCACCUUGGACGUUACCAGCCUAUCACUGCUCUAAAGGUAAUAAUUAUUUUUACGCUUAUCGAUUUUCCAAAUACAUCCAUUAUAUAACCCUCCCCAAGCUACCAUCUGCCUUUAAAACUGCUACCCAACUUGUAAAUCAUGUCUUAAAACUUCACGAAAUCCCCAUUGAGAUAGUCUUGGACCAAGGUCCUUAGUUCUCUUCCCUUGUUGAGAAGUAGUUCUGUAAAGUGACUGGUGCAGCAACCAACUUGUCUUCUGAAUACCAUCCACUAACCGAUGGCCAGAAGGAGCAGGCAAAUCAGUUCCUGGAAACUUUCCUUUACUGCGUUGGCGCACAUAACCACACCUCCUGGAGCUCAUUCCUUCCAAGGGUAGAAUGCCCCUACAGCUCCCUUGCCAGCUCCUCCACUGGUAUGUCUCUCGUCAUAGCCUGCAAUGGUUUCCGACCACUAUGAGUUUGGGAAGAAGAGCAUGCGAUGGCGAUUCCUGAAGUCAGGAUCACACAAAGAGGCUUUUAAUUCAUUUGGAAGGAGAUUAGGAUGGCCUUAUUUCGGUCCGCAGAGGGAAAUAAACAUCUUGGAGACCUUCAUCGCUCCGCUACAUCUGAGUACAACGUGGGUCAGACUUUUGGCAUUCCUCCCAUGACUGACCACUCCAGACAGAAUCCCGCAAACUCACUCUGUGUUGUUUUUUUUUUGGUCCAUUUCCAAUCACUAAAAUCAUCACACCCACAUUAGUUUAAAUGAAAUGUUCGUAAUCUCACCCUGGUUAGCUGGGCUGUAUGCCAGGAGGCAUUUACUGUUAUGAACUGUUGUUGGAGUUUUGACGGGGAUUUGCACCCCUCUCACAAUCUCUCUCUCCUCCGAGUAAUCAGCCCUACCUUGGUUGCACACCUGUUGUCAAUCAGCCUACAUCAUCACCUGCAUUUAAGCCUGCCAGGUCAAAGCUCCACCUUCGGAAUAUUAACAUUCACCAGUGGUACAUCCAUCCAUCCAUCCAUCCAUUUACUGAGCCGCUUGUCCUCACAAGGGUUGCGGGAGUGCUGGAGCCUAUCCCACCUCUCAUCAGGCAGGAGGGCUGUGGAAGGAAACUGGACUACCUGGAGAAAACCCACACAGCACAGGGAGGACAUAGAAACUCCACAAAGGGCUCCUUCUGUGUUUCUCAUCUUGCUGACCUCUCCUACCACACCGUGAAGUAAUCACCUGCUUAUGCCACCACCUGCUGCAUUAUCCCUGUAUUGAUGACCAGCCAGUACACCUAAACGAUCCACCUCCGAAUCCCUUCACAGUAAACCAUUCUCUCCAGACUUCAUCAGCUUUGGCUUGCCUCUGGGUCCAGUCAAAAUUAUUACCAUUGCAUCACAACACGAAUGCUGAUUUGUGUAUAGUUCACUCUAAAAACAAAAGCUACA
Syngnathoides biaculeatus (alligator pipefish) is the source of this 1755-nucleotide long non-coding RNA. RefSeq lists it as uncharacterized. NCBI's taxonomy places the organism in Eukaryota, Metazoa, Chordata, Actinopteri, Syngnathiformes, Syngnathidae. The record is from RefSeq and is a predicted model, not a curated record. The transcript has 3 exons.